RNAcentral lists this transfer RNA (71 nucleotides) under Caudoviricetes sp. Its description in RNAcentral is "tRNA-Gln". It matches the Rfam family "tRNA". Rfam says of the family: Transfer RNA (tRNA) molecules are approximately 80 nucleotides in length. Their secondary structure includes four short double-helical elements and three loops (D, anti-codon, and T loops). Lineage: Duplodnaviria; Heunggongvirae; Uroviricota; Caudoviricetes. The record is from RNAcentral.
UGUGGUAUGGUGUAAUGGUAACACGACAGACUUUGACUCUGUAAUUCCAUGUUCGAAUCAUGGUACCACAA